This 290-nucleotide long non-coding RNA is filed under the name Prunus persica (peach). RNAcentral describes it as "long non-coding RNA (PPER_LNC000783)". The record is from RNAcentral. Lineage: Eukaryota; Viridiplantae; Streptophyta; Magnoliopsida; Rosales; Rosaceae.
AGGACAUCACCGUCAAACAAUGACGAAUCAACUCCAAUAGAUCGUAGUGACCCAUUAUUCGACGAAUUUGACAUGAUGCACGGACCAACUGAAUGAUUUAUGUUUCUAUUAAACAAAAUCCGGUUGUUAUGAAGACUAAUGAUCAGGUGAAGUUUUCUAGAUUCAGUUUUUAUUAUUAUUAUUUUUUUGUUCAUGUCCACCGAUGAGCUCUUACUAUGUCUACUGGUAAUUGAAAUGAAAAUUUGCUUGGUUUCAUUCUUGCAUGAAAUUUGGACAUAUGUUAAUUUUAC